UGGGCGGGGCCCGGCCAAGCCCCGCCCCCGCUUCCUGCCGGGAGGGGCCGCGGCCGGAGCGAAGGUCCUGGAGCCUCCCACCAUGUGGAACCCUGGUGCAGGACAGCCGCCCCCCCCCAACCCCGCGUACCCCCC
Non-coding RNA from Lonchura striata (white-rumped munia), 135 nucleotides. NCBI's taxonomy places the organism in Eukaryota, Metazoa, Chordata, Aves, Passeriformes, Estrildidae. The record is from RefSeq and is a predicted model, not a curated record.